GUCAUGGACACCCGUUGGUUGUGGAACCGGUGGAACAGAGGCAGACAUCAAUCCACAAGCAUAGGUAACAUUCCAUGGUACCUAUGCUUGUGAUCCUCCAGCCCUUGGGACAAACUGGGUGAUACUAGCCGGGUCCCAAGACACCCAUGGAUACUUUUUGGAAGCUUUUCGGUCAUGGGUGCAUUCGGGAGAGUCAUUCCCAGUUUUUUAGGAAAGCUGAUGCCUCCUCCAUCGAAUUAAGGACAUGCGCAGUCCCGGAGUGGGUUACCACCAAAGAGCCAUUAGCUCCC
Molecule: non-coding RNA, 290 nt
Organism: Pelobates cultripes (western spadefoot toad)
Lineage: Eukaryota; Metazoa; Chordata; Amphibia; Anura; Pelobatidae
Source: the annotation of a GenBank genome assembly